Mauremys reevesii (Reeves's turtle) is the source of this 188-nucleotide long non-coding RNA. RefSeq lists it as uncharacterized. The record is from RefSeq and is a predicted model, not a curated record. The transcript has 3 exons. NCBI's taxonomy places the organism in Eukaryota, Metazoa, Chordata, Testudines, Geoemydidae.
CCCAAGGAUGGAAGCCUCAAGGCAUUGAGUCUGAACGGGACUUACUGGUUGAGAGCCAUGCCUGCCUGCUAAAGGACCUUGUGAAGGGACCUCCCAAUAUUGAGAGUGGAACAGCUCCAACCAGAGACUGAGAGAGAUUUCAGAAUCAGAAGAAGCAGGGACUUGAACCUGUGUCUACUACAUCACGG